UACGUAGGGUGCGAGCGUUGUCCGGAAUUAUUGGGCGUAAAGGGCUCGUAGGCGGUUUGUCGCGUCGGGAGUGAAAACCAGGUGCUUAACACCUGGCUUGCUUUCGAUACGGGCAGACUAGAGGUAUUCAGGGGAGAACGGAAUUCCUGGUGUAGCGGCGAAAUGCGCAGAUAUCAGGAGGAACACCGGUGGCGAAGGCGGUUCUCUGGGAAUGACCUGACGCUGAGGAGCGAAAGUGUGGGGAGCGAACAGG
Molecule: ribosomal RNA, 253 nt
Filed under: uncultured bacterium
Lineage: Bacteria
Description: partial 16S ribosomal RNA
Rfam family: Bacterial small subunit ribosomal RNA
Source: RNAcentral